UUUUAUGGAGAGUUUGAUCCUGGCUCAGGAUGAACGCUGGCGGCGUGCCUAAUACAUGCAAGUCGAGCGAACGGACGAGAAGCUUGCUUCUCUGAUGUUAGCGGCGGACGGGUGAGUAACACGUGGAUAACCUACCUAUAAGACUGGGAUAACUUCGGGAAACCGGAGCUAAUACCGGAUAAUAUUUUGAACCGCAUGGUUCAAAAGUGAAAGACGGUCUUGCUGUCACUUAUAGAUGGAUCCGCGCUGCAUUAGCUAGUUGGUAAGGUAACGGCUUACCAAGGCAACGAUGCAUAGCCGACCUGAGAGGGUGAUCGGCCACACUGGAACUGAGACACGGUCCAGACUCCUACGGGAGGCAGCAGUAGGGAAUCUUCCGCAAUGGGCGAAAGCCUGACGGAGCAACGCCGCGUGAGUGAUGAAGGUCUUCGGAUCGUAAAACUCUGUUAUUAGGGAAGAACAUAUGUGUAAGUAACUGUGCACAUCUUGACGGUACCUAAUCAGAAAGCCACGGCUAACUACGUGCCAGCAGCCGCGGUAAUACGUAGGUGGCAAGCGUUAUCCGGAAUUAUUGGGCGUAAAGCGCGCGUAGGCGGUUUUUUAAGUCUGAUGUGAAAGCCCACGGCUCAACCGUGGAGGGUCAUUGGAAACUGGAAAACUUGAGUGCAGAAGAGGAAAGUGGAAUUCCAUGUGUAGCGGUGAAAUGCGCAGAGAUAUGGAGGAACACCAGUGGCGAAGGCGACUUUCUGGUCUGUAACUGACGCUGAUGUGCGAAAGCGUGGGGAUCAAACAGGAUUAGAUACCCUGGUAGUCCACGCCGUAAACGAUGAGUGCUAAGUGUUAGGGGGUUUCCGCCCCUUAGUGCUGCAGCUAACGCAUUAAGCACUCCGCCUGGGGAGUACGACCGCAAGGUUGAAACUCAAAGGAAUUGACGGGGACCCGCACAAGCGGUGGAGCAUGUGGUUUAAUUCGAAGCAACGCGAAGAACCUUACCAAAUCUUGACAUCCUUUGACAACUCUAGAGAUAGAGCUUUCCCCUUCGGGGG
This 1046-nucleotide ribosomal RNA is filed under the name Staphylococcus aureus. Its description in RNAcentral is "partial 16S ribosomal RNA". It matches the Rfam family "Bacterial small subunit ribosomal RNA", at positions 1 to 1026 of the family's 1533-position model. RNAcentral also lists the same sequence under 1 other name. The record is from RNAcentral. Lineage: Bacteria; Bacillati; Bacillota; Bacilli; Caryophanales; Staphylococcaceae.